This 508-nucleotide ribosomal RNA is filed under the name uncultured bacterium. RNAcentral's name for it is "partial 16S ribosomal RNA". It matches the Rfam family "Bacterial small subunit ribosomal RNA", at positions 28 to 523 of the family's 1533-position model. The record is from RNAcentral.
GAUGAACGCUAGCUACAGGCUUAACACAUGCAAGUCGAGGGGAAACGAUAGGGAAAGCUUGCUUUUUCUAGGCGUCGACCGGCGCACGGGUGAGUAACGCGUAUCCAACCUGCCCAUCACUUGGGGAUAACCUUGCGAAAGUAAGACUAAUACCCAAUGACGUCUCUAGAAGACAUCUGAAGGAGAUUAAAGAUUUAUCGGUGAUGGAUGGGGAUGCGUCUGAUUAGCUUGUUGGCGGGGUAACGGCCCACCAAGGCGACGACCAGUAGGGGUUCUGAGAGGAAGGUCCCCCACAUUGGAACUGAGACACGGUCCAAACUCCUACGGGAGGCAGCAGUGAGGAAUAUUGGUCAAUGGACGAGGGUCUGAACCAGCCAAGUAGCGUGCAGGAAGACGGCCCUAUGGGUUGUAAACUGCUUUUAUAAGGGAAUAAAGUGAGUCUCGUGAGACUUUUUGCAUGUACCUUAUGAAUAAGGACCGGCUAAUUCCGUGCCAGCAGCCGCCGUAA